GCCGGGCGUGGUGGUGCAUGCCUGUAGUCCCAGCUACUCAGGAGGCUGAGGCAGGAGAAUUGCUUGAACCUGGGAGGUGGAGGUUGCAGUGAGCUGAGAUUGUGCCACUGCACUCCUGCCUGGGUGACAGAGUGAGACUCUGUCUCAA
Homo sapiens (human) is the source of this 148-nucleotide non-coding RNA. It matches the Rfam family "Metazoan signal recognition particle RNA". Rfam says of the family: The signal recognition particle (SRP) is a universally conserved ribonucleoprotein. It is involved in the co-translational targeting of proteins to membranes. NCBI's taxonomy places the organism in Eukaryota, Metazoa, Chordata, Mammalia, Primates, Hominidae. The record is from Rfam.